Molecule: long non-coding RNA, 192 nt
Organism: Papaver somniferum (opium poppy)
Lineage: Eukaryota; Viridiplantae; Streptophyta; Magnoliopsida; Ranunculales; Papaveraceae
Exons: 3
Source: RefSeq, a predicted model, not a curated record
UUACUAUAGAAAGCUUAUUCCCUUUCUAUUACGGGUUUGAUAUUCUCAGUGUUAACUGGUCUUUUCGUAGAUUAGAGAUGGGAAAGAAAAAGGGGAGAAAUUCUGAGGGUGCUGGUACGUCUUCUGGUACUCAGACUGGCAAUCAAGAUAUUGGAGAGGAUGAUGAUCAAGAGCUUUUGAAAUCGUUGGGGG